RNAcentral lists this ribosomal RNA (253 nucleotides) under uncultured bacterium. RNAcentral's name for it is "partial 16S ribosomal RNA". It matches the Rfam family "Bacterial small subunit ribosomal RNA", at positions 524 to 776 of the family's 1533-position model. The record is from RNAcentral.
UACGAAGGGAGCUAGCGUUGUUCGGAAUUACUGGGCGUAAAGAGUACGUAGGCUGUUAUUUAAGUUAGGUGUGAAAGCCCCGGGCUCAACCCGGGAAUUGCACUUAAAACUGAGUAACUUGAGAUUGGGAGAGGAAAGUGGAAUUACUAGUGUAGAGGUGAAAUUCGUAGAUAUUAGUAAGAACACCAGUGGCGAAGGCGACUUUCUGGACCAAUACUGACGCUGAGGUACGAAAGCGUGGGGAGCAAACAGG